This is a long non-coding RNA of Gallus gallus (chicken), 2158 nucleotides long. RefSeq lists it as uncharacterized. NCBI's taxonomy places the organism in Eukaryota, Metazoa, Chordata, Aves, Galliformes, Phasianidae. The transcript has 3 exons. The record is from RefSeq and is a predicted model, not a curated record.
GUGCGUGAGUUGGGGUUCUUAGAAUGACUUGUGUUCCUCCCUAACCCGUGUUGUUCAGUACUACUAUUGAGGGUUUUAACUUUGAUUCUAGGAUAGGAGACUCUGCCGUCAGAUGGCGUUGCCUUUUCUUCUCUCCCCAGUUUGCAGAGUUGGAUGUGACCUCAGCACUGGAUAAGGGGUAAGUGAUUCCUCCAUCCUGACCAGAAGGUAAUCUCUACUUGUCUUGUGCUGUGUGGAACAGGUUGCAGUGGAGAAGUGCAGUUGUCCGGGGCGCUGCAAGGACUCUAUUGAGGCAUUUGGUGGACGCUGCAGGAACCCACAGCCAGAGGUGGAUGCCAAGAUGCACUCCUUCCUCUGUCUGGCAAGCUCUGCUGACCCCUGAGGUUUUUCCCACGCUUGCAGAGGACGGAAAUGUACACCUGGUUGGAUCUACGAUGACCCAAAUGCAAUCUAGUAAGGUUUGGCCAAGUGUGGUGGGAAAGGAAGAUGUAGGCUCCUAAGCAAACUUCUGGAUUGGGGACACCAGCACCAGAUGCUCUUGCACUUCCUGACCUCCCUGGGUGGCAGCAUUGGAAGUGCCUGGACCCUUGGAAAGGGCUAAGUGAUUCCUUCAUCAUUACCAGAAUGUAGUUUGUGUUCAACAGAUGACGGUGGAGAACUGUGGCCUUCUGUUCAGUGCAAAAAGUCUACUGAGGAUCUAGGUGGAUAGAACAGGAACGCAGAGCAAUAGUUGGAUGCCAAGAUGCACAUCUUCCUCUGUCUGGCAAGCUCUGCUGACCCCUGAGGUCGUUUCCAUGCUUGCAGAGGUCCUAUCUGCUUGGUGUCGGUUGUGCCUUGUGUUCACUUGGCUUUCCAAGGGUGUUGUUGCCUUAUAAUAUUUUCCCAACCUGUUUCCAAGCAGGAGCUCCCCUUGGCCUCCGUGUCUCGCUCUGGCCAGGCAGAUGUGGUGUGCCAACGGUACACAGAGUCCAGACCCUGAGCAGAACAACUGAGGAGAGAGGCUGCCCUGGGUGAGACAGGAGAAGUGCCCCUUGGAGUGGGGGACGCCCCACUGGCGCUGCCUCUCGCAUCCACCGGCAGCACGUUCCUUCUCUCUCCUUGUUGCCCGGCGCUUUGCUGUCUCUCAGGGCUCACCAAGUCCAAAUGUUCCCUGAUGGAGUCCAACUCCAGCUUGACCAACACUCACCCGGUCUUGUCCCUGCACCAGCUGGCUUAGGGCUCCCCAGCAGUGCUGGCUGUCGGUGCCUUCUGUCGCUCCCAGUCAGCAUGGCUCUGUUCUUUGCUUUUUGGCUUCCAGAGCAUUUGCUACAGGUUAUGGAGUGUUUCUCUUCUCUCUCUUCUUGUCCUCCAUGUUGCCCGUUGGCGCCUCGGUGGAGUUUCAGUGACCCAAAUGCAGACUGCUCUGCGUUGCCCAAGCGUGAUGCCAAGAGAAGAGGUAGGCACCAGAACAGGCUGCUGGUGAGUGCUGUGCGUGAGUUGGGGUUCUUAGAAUGACUUGUGUUCCUCCCUAACCCGUGUUGUUCAGUACUACUAUUGAGGGUUUUAACUUUGAUUCUAGGAUAGGAGACUCUGCCGUCAGAUGGCGUUGCCUUUUCUUCUCUCCCCAGUUUGCAGAGUUGGAUGUGACCUCAGCACUGGAUAAGGGGUAAGUGAUUCCUCCAUCCUGACCAGAAGGUAAUCUCUACUUGUCUUGUGCUGUGUGGAACAGGUUGCAGUGGAGAAGUGCAGUUGUCCGGGGCGCUGCAAGGACUCUAUGGAGGCAUUUGGUGGACGCCGCAGGAACCCACAGCCAGAGGUGGAUGCCAAGAUGCACUCCUUCCUCUGUCUGGCAAGCUCUGCUGACCCCUGAGGUUUUUCCCACGCUUGCAGAGGUUGUAUGGGCUUGGUGUUGGUUGUUGCUUGUGCUCACCUUGCUGUCACCGGGUGUUCUUCCUUUGCCCAUCAUAGGGCUCCCCCGUUCUGGUGGGAUCUCUGUGCCUUCUGCUGAUCCCAGAGAACAUGGGUUCGUUCUCUUAUAUCCAGGUUCACUAUGUUUUCUUGCUGUUAUGUGAUGUUUGCCUUAGUUUUUUUAUUUUUUAUUUUUUUUCCGGGCUGCUUAUUGAUCCAUCCUGGGUCUGCAAUAAACCAAAUGAUUUCUGGUAAGGUUUGAGCAAGUGAG